Molecule: ribosomal RNA, 502 nt
Filed under: uncultured bacterium
Lineage: Bacteria
Description: partial 16S ribosomal RNA
Rfam family: Bacterial small subunit ribosomal RNA
Source: RNAcentral
AUUGAACGCUGGCGGCAUGCCUUACACAUGCAAGUCGAACGGCAGCACGAGAGCUUGCUCCUGGUGGCGAGUGGCGAACGGGUGAGUAAUACAUCGGAACGUACCCAGGAGUGGGGGAUAACGUAGCGAAAGUUACGCUAAUAACGCAUAUUCUGUGAGCAGGAAAGCGGGGGAUUGCAAGACCUCGCGCUCUUGGAGCGGCCGAUGUCGGAUUAGCUAGUUGGUGAGGUAAAAGCUCACCAAGGCGACGAUCCGUAGCAGGUCUGAGAGGAUGAUCUGCCACACUGGGACUGAGACACGGCCCAGACUCCUACGGGAGGCAGCAGUGGGGAAUUUUGGACAAUGGGGGCAACCCUGAUCCAGCCAUGCCGCGUGAGUGAAGAAGGCCUUCGGGUUGUAAAGCUCUUUCGGCGGGGAAGAAAUGGCAACGGCUAAUAUCCGUUGUUGAUGACGGUACCCGCAUAAGAAGCACCGGCUAACUACGUGCCAGCCGCCGCUGUAA